GGAUGUGAGGGCGAUCUGGCUCUGACAUCUGUCAUCCCAUUGGUCUCCCAGGUUGAUUGGGCUGAUCUGGUUGGCUAGGCAGGUGUCCCCUUCCUCCCUCACAGCUCCAUGUGCGCCCCUCCCGAAGCAGCACACUCAGUUGAAGAGGACGACUUUCCCUGAAUAAAGACAUGUAGGCUUUCCUUUGUUCUUGGGUUAAGACUUCCUUCUUCUUCUGUAUAUAGUAUUCCUUUGUGUAUCUUUAGUGCAGGCUUACUGGUCAUGAAUGAUAUA
Molecule: small RNA, 273 nt
Filed under: Mus pahari (shrew mouse)
Lineage: Eukaryota; Metazoa; Chordata; Mammalia; Rodentia; Muridae
Description: sRNA (MGP_PahariEiJ_G0008184.1)
Rfam family: 7SK RNA (bases 1-204)
About the family: 7SK was discovered as an abundant small nuclear RNA in the mid-70s but a possible function has only recently been suggested. Two independent studies have found that 7SK RNA binds the CDK9/cyclin T complex (known as elongation factor P-TEFb).
Source: RNAcentral